Long non-coding RNA from Neofelis nebulosa (Clouded leopard), 510 nucleotides. RefSeq lists it as uncharacterized. Lineage: Eukaryota; Metazoa; Chordata; Mammalia; Carnivora; Felidae. The transcript is spliced from 2 exons. The record is from RefSeq and is a predicted model, not a curated record.
GGAAUAACUACUCGAGCCAGUCAGUUUUUCAACCAAGAAGUAAAAGUAUCACCAGCAUCUGGGAUACAGCAAUGGCAAAGAUGGAUAUUAUGAAAAAAACCCUUAAAGUGAAAAAGAAAAAAAUCAGCAAAAUUUGUAUAUCACACACACACACACACACACACACACACACACACACACACGAUCUAUCCAAAGUGGAGGUUUAUAAUUAAAUAGAUUCUAAGGGUGUAAGACUUGGUGUCUGUAUGAACCUUCAUAUGUACCUGGGAGUUACUACCUAGCUUUUAUCAGAUUCUCCAGGGAGUCUACAAGCUUCAAAAUUUUAAGAGCCACUGAAGCCUAUAUCUCACCAUAACUCUAGAAGGUAGAGUUGUCACAGAACAUAAAAAGAACAAUCUAAAAUAGAACAGACAAUGAAAUACAGUCUAAGUUCCUCACAGAUGCAUAAGUUAAUUCCUGAAACUCAAAUGAAGUGCAAAUAUCAUAGGAAUUAAAGUUUUUAAAAUAUUA